CGGACGUGGAUAACCUGCCUCACACUGGGGGAUAACAGUUGGAAACGACUGCUAAUACCGCAUGACGCAUUUUGAUCGCAUGGUCGAAAUGCCGAAGAUUUAUCGCUGAAAGAUGGCCUCGCGUCUGAUUAGCUAGUUGGUGAGGUAACGGCCCACCAAGGCGACGAUCGGUAGCCGGACUGAGAGGUUGAACGGCCACAUUGGGACUGAGACACGGCCCAG
RNAcentral lists this ribosomal RNA (222 nucleotides) under uncultured bacterium. RNAcentral's name for it is "partial 16S ribosomal RNA". It matches the Rfam family "Bacterial small subunit ribosomal RNA", at positions 112 to 334 of the family's 1533-position model. The record is from RNAcentral.